CCCCACAUCCUACCCUUCCUCCAGCCCUGCCCCAGGUCCCACCCCCUGCGGCCUCCCCAGUUUGGAGGAGAGCCUAGGGAUGCUGGAGCAAGAGGGAAUCUCAGCCUAUACCCUCCCACUCCACAGGCAAAAGAUGCCGGUGCAAAUUCAACCAACAGCAGAGGUGAGUGGUCCCUCUGGACCUCCCUCGCUCCUCCCGCAGUGGAGAGGCGGUGGGGGCGAGGCGGCAAAUGCACCCAUUCUGCAGUCGAACACGUAUUAAGCGCUUAGUGUGUGUUAAACCCUAAGCCAGGCUCCUGGGUCGGAGCGAUGGUCAAGCUCCCUCUCUGCCUGGCUCAGCGCCCAGCCAGUGGGGGCGCUGGGCUCCCACCAGCCCCGCAGAUGGAAACUCAAGCGUGGUGAGGCGAAGCUGGGCAGAAGCAGCCGCGCUGAAAUGAGAUCACCUCACAGGGCGGCCCAGUUUAGCUCCAGUCCGGAUCCUCGCGCAGGAUUCCUCUCGAAAUAAACCUUUAAAGCACAGGCAACGUAGGCAUGCCUUCUGCGUGCUAAGACGAUCACAGAUGCCUUCCCACCGACCCUCUAGCAUGGUUGAGUGCGCACCACGAGCCAGGCGCCGUUUUCUAUUAUGUAUCCCUUACCCCACCCGGGUGAGGUGCGCUCCAUCAUCCAUCCCGUUUGUGCAUAUGAGGAAACUGAGGCACGGGGAGGUAAGGUGACUUAGGGUCACUCACUGGACCCAAGUCCCAAAUCUCCCAAGACCCUGUGACCGUCCCUCUCCCCAACAAUGUCAAGUGCCUUCCCCAACACCCCGGAGGCCUCCACCGCGCAGGCUGGGAGCACCUCCUGCCGCACCCUGAAACAGCAGCGGGAAGCUUCUGUUUCUGACGGACCGCGUCUAUGUCAAGUCCACGGUGGGGGUCUGGAAAUAAGGCCUGCACUGGGGCUUCUCAGAAGCGGCUACCUCUCCUGGUCCAUCCGAAUUCCUCUGUCUGUUCCUUCCCAGAACUGGGGAACCCGACGAAGAGGAGGGAACUUUCCGCAGCUCCAUCCGCCGUCUGUCCACCCGCAGGCGGUAGAACCUCCACCUGGCUCCAGGAAACUCAGCCAGAGCCCCCUUGGCACCUGACACCUCUCCCCACCCAGCUGCUCGCCUGUGACCACCUCCAGCGUCCCCUGCAUCAGCCCUGCUUCUCGGACACCCCUUGCUGCUCAGACCUCCAAUAAAACUCGGUUUUCCUUCUUG
RNAcentral lists this long non-coding RNA (1243 nucleotides) under Rattus norvegicus (Norway rat). Its description in RNAcentral is "long non-coding RNA NONRATT002532". The record is from RNAcentral. Lineage: Eukaryota; Metazoa; Chordata; Mammalia; Rodentia; Muridae.